Molecule: ribosomal RNA, 482 nt
Filed under: uncultured bacterium
Lineage: Bacteria
Description: bacterial SSU rRNA
Rfam family: Bacterial small subunit ribosomal RNA
Source: RNAcentral
GACGAACGCUGGCGGCAUGCCUAANACAUGCAAGUCGAACGGAACUUGUUGAAUGAAGUUUUCGGAUGGAUUUUGAUAAGUUUAGUGGCGGACGGGUGAGUAACGCGUGAGCAACCUGCCUUUCAGUGGGGGUCAACAGUUGGAAACGACUGCUAAUACCGCAUAAUGUUAUUUGGGGGCAUCCCCGAAUAACCAAAGAUUUAUUGCUGAAAGAUGGACUCGCGUCUGAUUAGCUAGAUGGCGGGGUAACGGCCCACCAUGGCGACGAUCAGUAGCCGGACUGAGAGGUUGAACGGCCACAUUGGGACUGAGAUACGGCCCAGACUCCUACGGGAGGCAGCAGUGGGGAAUAUUGGGGCAAUGGGCGAAAGCCUGACCCAGCAACGCCGCGUGAAGGAAGAAGGUUUUCGGAUUGUAAACUUCUGAUCUAUGGGAAGAAGAAAGUGACGGUACCAUAGGAGAAAGCCACGGCUAACUACGUG